AUGCUGGUCCCAGCGCCUUACAAGGCGCCGAAGAAAGAGGCCUUCAAGGAGGCCAAGGAGACCCGGAGCAGCCUCCGUCGCAGCGGUGCUUCAGACACAAAAUCCGAAGACUCCAACGCCCAUCCUUCCUCCGAAGAUGAAGAGGAGGAGGAAGAAGAUGAAUCCUCCAUGGGGGAAGGGAAGAAAAAGACGGCCUCCUCAUCCUUGGAGGCUGAAUCGCCGAAGAGGAAAAAAAAUCCCCUUCCAGAGGCGUCCACCACGGCUACCAAUAGCAGUCCGGAGUGGGAUCCCAGGGCCCAGCCCCUGGUAAAAUCGUGA
This 318-nucleotide ribosomal RNA is filed under the name Triticum aestivum (bread wheat). Its description in RNAcentral is "partial small subunit ribosomal RNA". The record is from RNAcentral. Lineage: Eukaryota; Viridiplantae; Streptophyta; Magnoliopsida; Poales; Poaceae.